RNAcentral lists this ribosomal RNA (426 nucleotides) under uncultured prokaryote. Its description in RNAcentral is "bacterial SSU rRNA". It matches the Rfam family "Bacterial small subunit ribosomal RNA", at positions 355 to 774 of the family's 1533-position model. The record is from RNAcentral.
UGGGGAAUCAUGGUCAAUGGGCGAAAGCCUGAACCUGCGACGCCGCGUGAGUGAUGAAGGUCGUAAGAUCGUAAAACUCUUUUCAGGGAUCUUAACGCACAGCUGUCAACAACAGCUGUGUCUGACUCUCCCUGGAAGAAGCCCCAGCCAACUACGUGCCAGCAGCUGCGGUAAUACGUAGGGGGCGAGCGUUAUUCGGAAUUACUGGGUGUAAAGGGUAUGUAGGCGGCCCUUCAAGUCGCGUGUCAAAGUCCAGUGCUCAACGCUGGGUGUGCGCGCGAUACUGACGGGCUUGAGGGCUGGAGAGGUGAGCGGAAUUCCCGGUGUAGUGGUAAAAUACGUAGAGAUCGGGAGGAACACCAGCGGCGCAGGCGGCUCACUAGACAGUGUCUGACGCUAAGAUACGAAAGCGUGGGGGAGCAAACA